RNAcentral lists this unclassified non-coding RNA (162 nucleotides) under Penicillium sp. RNAcentral describes it as "partial internal transcribed spacer 2". The record is from RNAcentral. RNAcentral also lists the same sequence under 3 other names. Lineage: Eukaryota; Fungi; Ascomycota; Eurotiomycetes; Eurotiales; Aspergillaceae.
CUGCCCUCAAGCACGGCUUGUGUGUUGGGCCUCCGUCCUCCUCCCGGGGGACGGGCCCGAAAGGCAGCGGCGGCACCGCGUCCGGUCCUCGAGCGUAUGGGGCUUCGUCACCCGCUCUUGUAGGCCCGGCCGGCGCUUGCCGACACAUCAAUCUUUUUUCCA